CUUCUCCCACCCCUAUCCAACCACUAGGUUUAAUGUGCUGAAUGUUUACUAGAGUAUUAGUAAUAAGAGGACGCCAGUCUCUGUAAACUGUGAACUCUUAAUAAAAAGAUAGCUCUUUAGUUUCUAUUAAAGAAGAAAACCUACAAGCCCAACAUGCCCAAGAGGAAGGGAGCUGAUGGAGAUGUCAAGGAGGAGGUUAGUCACACACACUUGAAUAUAACCAUUGUGGAGUUGGCUACAGGUGGUACUUCACAUGAUCAGUAGUGAUCUCUGGUGAUUUUAUCACAUUAUUUGCUAUUUUAAACCUGCAUGGAUCAUGCAUUCUUGAAAUAGGUUAGUAUUCAUUGUCUGCAUUAUGAAGAUAAAUAAAGCAUCAUCAUUUAGUUCCUUAUGAAAUGUUGUCGUGCAUCUUUGAAUGUUAUUUUUUUCUCGCCAUAAAUUAGCCUUCGAGGAGAUCUGCACGGUUGUCAUCGGUGAGUACAUCUUGUUUUUUAAAGCAGGGCGGUUCAAUUACAGAUCUGUAUAUAACGAAAAGUUGUUUACCUGGCAGGUUUGUUUCUAUGGGUUUAAUCUUUAAACCCAUAGAAACACAUCAGGCUUAUUCUGGACUGAUUUUGUCCAGAACAUCCUGCUUCACUCUUCUCUGUUUCAACUCUGGUCCUGGAGGGCUGAAACUCUUUUGGUUUUUACCCUCUCCUUCUAAUAAGGGAUGGUUUCAGAUCUGGGACACCAGGUCAUUCAAAUUAAUUAUGUAUCAGUAGAAACAAAAAACAGAAGUGUUUUGGCAUUCCAGUUGCAGUGUUGAAUAGUCCUGCUCAAAAGGUCACAUUUGGACAUUUAAUAUUUUUCUGAUAUACGGCAUCCACACUUCAGGUGAAAAGAGGUUUUCAAGCUGAAACAUUUAGCAUCUAAAGUGCUUUUUUAAAUGAUUCUUGGUAAAGUGUCAAGCAAGGUCAUGCCUCCAUAUCUUGCCAUGCCCCCUGAAUUAAUGACAUUUAUUUUAUAAAGCCCUUUUUACAUAAGCAGUUGUCAAAAAGUGCUUUAACAGAUACACAGACAGAAACCCUAAUGAGAAGGCAACAUUUAUAUAUAAAAUUGGUUUGAAUGAAGUGAUGGCACCAAUUACUAAGUUUUUCUAUUGGAUGUUACAUAUUUACAAAACGUCUCCCACACGUCUGUUGAAAGUGUGUGAAUUAUUGUGUUCACUGAUUAGGACAUUUAUCAUUAUUUCUAUUUAAGUAGAAGACAGCGACAGGAGCUAUACUGCUUUAGGAAACUCAUCAGUCAUCAUUACUGGACCUGUCAUAUUCUCUAAAGCUAGUGUAAAGUCCAGUUGCACUAAUGAUAAUGUACCUUGAAAAAUGUUAUUUUUAUUGUUGACAGAAGUGUAUCCACAACAAAAACAACAUACAUUAACAUAUUUUGAUGGUAUUUUCAAUUACCUUGCCAGUCAAGGCAUCAUUGAUUUAUACUGGUGUUCCACCCCUUUUAAACAAAUUUGCAAAACAAACGUUUUAAGACAGUUUUCUUCAUUGCAAGUUCUUCUGUAUUUUUCAGAAACCAGCACCUCCAAAACCAGCACCAAAACCAAAAAAGCCAGCUAAAGUAAUAUUCACCUUUCUUCAAUACUGGCUAAUUUAUGUUAUUAACUUACUACAAUUAUGCAAAUCAGGUGUUCAGUAUUUGAUGUUGUCUUCCCCACACAUUCACCUGGAUUAUGUUUUGAAAAUGUACAUGCAUAUUGUCCAAACAGAAAGAAAAAGAGGUAAAUGACAAGAAGAAGGUGAAGGCAGCAGCAGCCGAGGAACCAAAAGAGGAGACCCAGUCAGAAAAUGGCGAGACCAAGACAGACGAAGUAGAGACUCCAGAGGAGGCAGACGAUAAGGAGGAAGAGAAGACUGACUAGCACCGAUCCCAUACAUUCAAACCCCUCAUUUGUAUGGCCCCCAAGUCUCAUGUGUUUUCCCAAAAACCUCCAUUACCUUAUUAACAGAGGAAUAUUUUUAUCAACAAUUUUGUAAUUAUUGGUGCAUGUUUUUAGCACAAAAUAAAGCUAAAUAUGGAGGAUUGUUCUGUUGUGCAGUGGUCAUAUCAAGUGUUUUAAGCAAACAUAAUUACAGUUUUGUUGUUAUAUCAGUGUUGGUACCAUGUUGGGAGUUCAGACAGGAAAGCUGGCUAAUUACAGGUGGUAUAGUAUCACAUUGUAGGUUUGCCAACUCAGAACAUUUCACUUUUGUAGGUGGAUGUAUUUUUACCCUUGAUAUGUGCAGUGUUAUUUCUUUGUGUGGGGGUGUUCUUGUUUUCAACUUGAUUGUCUGUAAGAGGAAUUUAAAUAUUUUGAAAAAUGUAAAACAUUCCAGGCUUAAUAAUGUUGUGGGCAUACCUGCUUUUGAAAAAAUCUUGUUCUGAAUUAUUUUGAUGACACAAAUUAUUUUAGCAGAGGAAGAAGCUUGCUGGAAGUGGCUUAUGCUUUUUGAAACAAAUGUUGGUAUUUUUUAACAGUGAAAAUUAAUCUAUUGAAAUAUGCAGCUAUCGUUUGUGUUCCCACUGAAGUUCUGGAUAUCUAAUUGGAAUUUAAUAAAAGUAAUUGGAAUUUUCCUCAUGAGGAUGCAC
This is a long non-coding RNA of Esox lucius (northern pike), 2613 nucleotides long. NCBI's taxonomy places the organism in Eukaryota, Metazoa, Chordata, Actinopteri, Esociformes, Esocidae. The record is from Ensembl.